Molecule: unclassified non-coding RNA, 288 nt
Filed under: fungal sp.
Lineage: Eukaryota; Fungi
Description: partial internal transcribed spacer region
Rfam family: Eukaryotic small subunit ribosomal RNA (bases 1-46)
Source: RNAcentral
AAGUCGUAACAAGGUAACCGUAGGUGAACCUGCGGUUGGAUCAUUAAAAAGAUCUAGCAGGAGUGAUCUUUAUCACUUCUGCAGCUCAUUAACCAUGAGCAAAACAUUUUGUGAACUGUACUUGUCUCUGGCGGUGGAGUAGGCUCAUGGGCCUACUUGUCAGUAGAAGGGUCACCCCUUUUACCGUGGGCAACACCGUCAGCCACCUGUCCUACACUUAUUAUUGUCUUACCAUUCGUAUUCUAUAAUACAAAAAAACAACUUUUGGCAACGGAUCUCUUGGCUCUC